Molecule: long non-coding RNA, 985 nt
Organism: Tachysurus fulvidraco (yellow catfish)
Lineage: Eukaryota; Metazoa; Chordata; Actinopteri; Siluriformes; Bagridae
Exons: 2
Source: RefSeq, a predicted model, not a curated record
UUAUUUUGUUUGUUGCUCUUUGUUUAUUAACUUCAAUAACUUCAACAGUACCAAAACAUAAAAAACAAACAACAUGUGUGAAAAUCAUUAAACAUUAUUUAUGGUGUGUUUUGUUUGUUGUUUGUUUUUGUUUAUUAUUGUUUGCUUGUUAACGUAGGAGAAAAAACAAACAAACAAACACACAAACAAAUUCCUAUCUAUACAACUCGUCUGAAUCGACCUCAGCUUAUAAUAAUCUCCGUAUUUGAUGGAUUUAACUGAUAAAUAUUUCCCACACUUGAGAUUCUUCUUCCUGUCACAUGACCUGGGGGUGUGGCUAGCGGUAAGGCUGGGGGCGGGGCUGGGGGCGGGGCUGGCAGGGACCUGUUGUGAUGCAGAAACUUAUUAUUCUACCUCAUUUAACACACCUGAUUUAAUUUAUUAGCUAAUUAGUCGUGACUUCAGAGGCUUAGUAAAGGGAAAAGACAAAGAUCAGUGCAGCUGUGGCUCAACACAUCCAGAGUGACAACACACACACACACACACACACACACACACACACACACACACACACACACACACACACACACACACACACACACACACACACCUACCUACCUACCUACCUCUGAGCUUGCAGUAAGCAGCUUCCAACAAUCCACAUCAUUUCAGUCAUACAGAGAGCAGCGUGAGAACAGACACAUCCGGACCUGAGAGGAACCGAGCCCAUGGAGAACCGUCUCAGGGGAGCACAACUGAGAGAACUUGUGUUGAUGCUGAGGGAAUUACACUCAGUGUCAAGCUCAGGACAUGGACAUAGGAGUGUGUGUGUGUUCUGAGUGUUUAUGUGAAUACACUGUGGUCAGACAGAAUGACCAAAUAAUCCCAUGAUGCAUCACUCUGUUGUUGUUGUUGUUGUCGUUUGUUGUUAUUGUUUUUUUUCCAUCAUAGACUGUAAGAGAAUAAAACGAUAAGAGAGAAAACACACUCUAUAUUUUGCACCACA